UGUGAGACUGCGGACGGCUCAGUACAUCAGUUAUAGUUUAUUCGAUUGUGAAAUCCACAUGGAUAACCGUGGAAAAUCUAGAGCUAAUACAUGCGAAAAAAACUUGUGUAUUGAGAAAUCAAUGCAUAGGGGAUGCAUUUAUUAGAUUAAGCCAAUCAAUAAUGUUAUGGGAUAACUGUAACAUUGUUGUUGUGGUGAGUCUGGAUAACUGUGCCGAUCGUAUGGCCUAGAGCCGGCGACGUUUCGAUUAAAUUUCUGCCCUAUCAACUUGUUGGUAAGGUAGUGGCUUACCAAGGUGAUAACGGGUAACGGGGAAUCAGGGUUCGAUUCCGGAGAGGGAGCCUGAGAAACGGCUACCACAUCCAAGGAUGGCAGCAGGCGCGCAAAUUACCCAAUCCAGACACUGGGAGGUGGUGACGAGAAAUACCAGGUCGUUCCCAAAAGGAUUCGACACUGGAAUGAGUGCAACUUAAAAACUUCAACGAUUAACAACUGGAGGGCAAGUCUGGUGCCAGCAGCCGCGGUAAUUCCAGCUCCAGUAGUGUAUCCAAACGUUGCUGCGGUUAAAACGCUCGUAGUUGGACAAGAGAGUAGUUUGGUGCGGGCGGGGAGUGUAAUUAUUCUUUGUGAGCAUUUGUUAUAAAGACUUGAAUCUGUUACUUUGUAAUAGAUUUAGGUCCGGACAAACAGCUGCUUAGAUAAAUCACUCGUCGACCAUGCUGCCAGUCUACUUGUAAUGUUUCGUGAGAGUAGUACAUGGUCUUUAUUGUAUUGUGUACUGUGUCUUACGUAGUGUGCCUUGAAUAAAUCAGAGUGCUCAAAGCAAGCAAUUGCUUGAAUGUUAAUAGCAUGGAACGAAUGUUUUGUGGAAGUGAGUUAUCGAGUGCCAUUUUUGGUAUGAGGUAAUUCACAGCACCAACCACGAAGCGGAACAUUGGUUGCCGACUUCGGGUGAUGAUUAAGAGGGGCAUUUGGGGGCAUUAGUAUUUGGCCGCGAGAGGUGAAAUUCUUGGACCGGCCAAGGACUAACAAGUGCGAAAGCAUUUGCCAAGUAUGUUCCCUUUAAUCAAGAACGAAAGUGAGAGGUUCGAAGACGAUCAGAUACCGUCCUAGUUCUCACYGUAAACGAUGCCAACCAGGGAUCAGUUCGGAUGUACUUCAUUUGAUCCAGGUUGGUCCCCCUGGGAAACCUUGAGUUUUUAGGUUCCGGGGGGAGUAUGGUUGCAAGGCUGAAACUUAAAGGAAUUGACGGAAGGGCACCACCAGGGGUGGAGCCUGCGGCUUAAUUUGACUCAACACGGGAAAACUCACCUGGUCCGGACAUCGAUAGGAUUGACAGACUAAUAGAUCUUUCAUGAUACGGUGGGUGGUGGUGCAUGGCCGUUCUUAGUUCGUGGAGCGAUCUGUCAGGUUUAUUCCGGUAACGAACGAGACCACGUUCUUCAUUUAGGGAACUGGAGGACAAGUAUUGACUUUCGUAAUCAGCUGAUAGUAUUGUAUCUUUGGUAUGAUGCUGUCAGUCGGUUAUGUUAGAUGGUACUUGCUACUCUGGUUUGCGUGCAGAAAUGCGCGUCCCUAUGGAGAGACAGCCGGAUUGUAAGCCGGAGGAAGCGUGGCAAUAACAGGUCUGUGAUGCCCUUCGAUGUUCAGGGCCGCACGCGCGCUAC
This 1667-nucleotide ribosomal RNA is filed under the name Myxidium notopterum. RNAcentral's name for it is "SSU rRNA". Lineage: Eukaryota; Metazoa; Cnidaria; Myxozoa; Bivalvulida; Myxidiidae. The record is from RNAcentral.